Molecule: ribosomal RNA, 1506 nt
Filed under: metagenome
Description: bacterial SSU rRNA
Rfam family: Bacterial small subunit ribosomal RNA
Source: RNAcentral
AGAGUUUGAUCCUGGCUCAGGACGAACGCUGGCGGCGUGCCUAAUACAUGCAAGUAGAACGCUGAAGAGAGGAGCUUGCUCUUCUUGGAUGAGUUGCGAACGGGUGAGUAACGCGUAGGUAACCUGCCUUGUAGCGGGGGAUAACUAUUGGAAACGAUAGCUAAUACCGCAUAACAAUGGAUGACCCAUGUCGUUUAUUUGAAAGGGGCAAAUGCUCCACUACAAGAUGGACCUGCGUUGUAUUAGCUAGUAGGUGAGGUAACGGCUCACCUAGGCGACGAUACAUAGCCGACCUGAGAGGGUGAUCGGCCACACUGGGACUGAGACACGGCCCAGACUCCUACGGGAGGCAGCAGUAGGGAAUCUUCGGCAAUGGGGGCAACCCUGACCGAGCAACGCCGCGUGAGUGAAGAAGGUUUUCGGAUCGUAAAGCUCUGUUGUAAGUCAGGAACGAGUGUGAGAGUGGAAAGUUCACACUGUGACGGUAGCUUACCAGAAAGGGACGGCUAACUACGUGCCAGCAGCCGCGGUAAUACGUAGGUCCCGAGCGUUGUCCGGAUUUAUUGGGCGUAAAGCGAGCGCAGGCGGUUUGAUAAGUCUGAAGUUAAAGGCUGUGGCUCAACCAUAGUUCGCUUUGGAAACUGUCAAACUUGAGUGCAGAAGGGGAGAGUGGAAUUCCAUGUGUAGCGGUGAAAUGCGUAGAUAUAUGGAGGAACACCGGUGGCGAAAGCGGCUCUCUGGUCUGUAACUGACGCUGAGGCUCGAAAGCGUGGGGAGCGAACAGGAUUAGAUACCCUGGUAGUCCACGCCGUAAACGAUGAGUGCUAGGUGUUGGAUCCUUUCCGGGAUUCAGUGCCGCAGCUAACGCAUUAAGCACUCCGCCUGGGGAGUACGACCGCAAGGUUGAAACUCAAAGGAAUUGACGGGGGCCCGCACAAGCGGUGGAGCAUGUGGUUUAAUUCGAAGCAACGCGAAGAACCUUACCAGGUCUUGACAUCCCGAUGCUAUUUCUAGAGAUAGAAAGUUACUUCGGUACAUCGGUGACAGGUGGUGCAUGGUUGUCGUCAGCUCGUGUCGUGAGAUGUUGGGUUAAGUCCCGCAACGAGCGCAACCCCUAUUGUUAGUUGCCAUCAUUCAGUUGGGCACUCUAGCGAGACUGCCGGUAAUAAACCGGAGGAAGGUGGGGAUGACGUCAAAUCAUCAUGCCCCUUAUGACCUGGGCUACACACGUGCUACAAUGGUUGGUACAACGAGUUGCGAGUCGGUGACGGCAAGCUAAUCUCUUAAAGCCAAUCUCAGUUCGGAUUGUAGGCUGCAACUCGCCUACAUGAAGUCGGAAUCGCUAGUAAUCGCGGAUCAGCACGCGGCGGUGAAUACGUUCCCGGGCCUUGUACACACCGCCCGUCACACCACGAGAGUUUGUAACACCCGAAGUCGGUGAGGUAACCUUUUGGAGCCAGCCGCCUAAGGUGGGAUAGAUGAUUGGGGUGAAGUCGUAACAAGGUA